UGGAGAAUGGUGUAAUGGCAGCACAACAAGUUUUGGUCUUGUUUGUCCGGGUUCGAGUCCCGGUUCUUCAUCA
RNAcentral lists this transfer RNA (73 nucleotides) under Caudoviricetes sp. RNAcentral describes it as "tRNA-Gln". It matches the Rfam family "tRNA". Rfam says of the family: Transfer RNA (tRNA) molecules are approximately 80 nucleotides in length. Their secondary structure includes four short double-helical elements and three loops (D, anti-codon, and T loops). Further hydrogen bonds mediate the characteristic L-shaped molecular structure. tRNAs have two regions of fundamental functional importance: the anti-codon, which is responsible for specific mRNA codon recognition, and the 3' end, to which the tRNAs corresponding amino acid is attached (by aminoacyl-tRNA synthetases). tRNAs cope with the degeneracy of the genetic code in two manners: having more than one tRNA (with a specific anti-codon) for a particular amino acid; and 'wobble' base-pairing, i.e. permitting non-standard base-pairing at the 3rd anti-codon position. Lineage: Duplodnaviria; Heunggongvirae; Uroviricota; Caudoviricetes. The record is from RNAcentral.